CACCUUCCUCUGAGCCUUCCAGCAUAUCACAUCUUUUCUACAUCUGCCUUCUAGACUAUGAGCUUACCAGGACAUGUUCUUGACGGCCAAGUCUUAUGCAGCUCUGAGUAAAAUUUGAUAUUUUCCUUAAUAACAACAACAACAACAAUAAUACACUGGAAAUGGAACUGGUAAGCCUGCUGUUACUAUAUUGCACCAAACACUGUCUGCUUUCUCCAUAUCUUCUUUUCAACACAAUGCUUUGGAUAAAUAGACUCAUAAAUCACACACUUCCCUGUUCCCUGCAAAAUUGUUUCAGUGGCAGCAGAAAAAUGUAUUCAAGGAAAGUCAAAUGCCAUGCUAGAAUUUAAAUGAAGGUAAAUUCCAAACAGGUCUUUACACAUGUGUUACAUAAUUUAACAGUGCUAUAAUUAAUUCAGGUCACUUAGUUUUACAAGGACUCCUUUAGCAAUGUAAUUAAACCUAUCAGUGACCAAAUCUGGUCUGACUUCAGCAUUAGAAUGGUAGUUGGAUACAGUAUCAGCAGGUGUAAAGGGGAAGGAGAGGUUGAACUAGAGACAGCUGGUCAAUAUUAGAGUGAACUGGAGAUUCAUCAUACACCUCCUUAAUGAAUAUGCAUUUAAUUUUUGUUCCACUGUGUAUUCUUCACUUGUCUGAUGCUGAAUUAUAUUGUUUUUCUAUGUGGUUUUUUUAUAGCGUGAGCCCCAAGAGCCAUAAUUUAUUGACAUUACUUCAUCAAUCUUUAAAAAGCCAAGAGAGACUGACUUAAUAAGAAAGAAGCACUUCCCUUUUACUUGGAUUUGUUUGAAAUCAGUUCUUCACCCUGUGGGUGACUUUGAAAGAGAAAAUCCCAGACCUCCUCACAACUUAACCAUCUUCUGAGCUCCUACUUCCCCAUGCCUGGACUCCUACCCAGAAUACAUCUCAUGAGAUGUAACCCUGGUAGUUCAGCACGACAAGAAACCAUGGUUAAUUAAAGAAGAGGUAAUCUGGUCAAGGAGCUUGAUUCAUGGAGAAGGGAGGCCUUAGGCACUUGAUCUACAACCCUCCUGAGGCCUGGUGGUUUUUCCAUCCAGCUUGCAGCCAAAAAUGUAUUGGCCCUGAUCUUUCAUCAAAAGACACAAUAUUCAGUGACAGCCCCUCACAUUUUUUAACCAACGUAAUUAUAAGCCAUAGGGACCUCAUUAUUUAAUAGCAUGCCCUUCCAGUACUACUCAGCACACUUCCUACUAUAAAACAUUAGUGAAGACAGCAUGCAUAUUUACACCCCAGCUGAACAAGGCACAGGAUUAUGGGCCUCAUUUUUUGAGCAAGCGAGUCGGUGACAGGACCGCUUAUGGAUUCAAGUGCCUGACGGAAUCUGGGCCUAGAAGAACACGUGCCUUUAUUUUCAUUAAUGCCGUGUGUCCCUGCAGUGUCAUGGACUUGGUUAAGUUAAUAUGCUCAGAUGCCCAUGGGAAGUGAACUGUGACCUGUGUUACAGAGAAAGAGAGAGAGAAAAAAAGUCCUUGCUGGACUGACCUGGAGGGAAAUUCCUUCCUGACCUCAUAUCUGGUGAUCAGUCGGUUUAACCCCGAGCAUGCGAGUGAAAACAUAACAAGCAGCACCUGAAAGAUUUCUCAGUUCCACUCCCUGCUAAAGGGGAGAUACUCACUCACACCAAGCAACUAAUAGGACUUUCCAUUUUCUAUUUAUUCAAGAAAGCAAUGAUUAAAAACAACUUAAGCAAUGUCAGAUCUACGAGGUGCAUUGUAUAAUACAAAUACCCCCUUGUAUAGUAACCUGAUUAUAGCCAGAGAUAAGUGACCCCAUCGUGGUCCUGGGACUUGUUUAGGGUUCUCAGCAAGUAUAAGAAGAUUAACGUAUACAUCUGUAUUUCUGUUGGAAUAAGCAGCUUAGACAAUAUUACUGAGGGUCACUCCAUAUAAUAACUCUGUAAUUAUAUAUAGGUCUCUUGUGAGCAAUGAAGUAGGCUAAGUGUUUCCAGACAACAGCUCAGGUCCUUAUUUACAACAAACUCAUCCCCUGCCUGAGGCUACAACUAGUCCAUUGGUGGCCAACCUUUUUGGCAGGUGUGACACAAGUUAAGCCCCCCUCCAUUUCUAGAGUGCCUCUCUGAUUCCUGUCCCACUGCCUCCUGCAAGGUGUACCUGAUAAAGUCUGUGCUUCAACUUAUCCCAACACUAGUCAAAAUUCAAAACUUCUGUUCCCUGAGAAAGUCUGACAUAUUGAAAUUUCCUGCAAGCCAGUGUUUCUGGGCAAAAAUCAUUCUCGGUCAAUCAAAAUGUUCUGUUUUGAUAGAACUGAAAGACCUCAUGCUGAUUUUGACUUUUUAAAAUUGCA
This is a long non-coding RNA of Gavialis gangeticus (Gharial), 2343 nucleotides long. RefSeq lists it as uncharacterized. The record is from RefSeq and is a predicted model, not a curated record. The transcript has 3 exons. Lineage: Eukaryota; Metazoa; Chordata; Crocodylia; Gavialidae.